This 748-nucleotide ribosomal RNA is filed under the name uncultured archaeon. RNAcentral's name for it is "bacterial SSU rRNA". It matches the Rfam family "Archaeal small subunit ribosomal RNA", at positions 18 to 782 of the family's 1478-position model. The record is from RNAcentral.
CGAUCGCCAGCUCUAUACGACUCACUUCAGGGCACGCCCUGACUCCUCUGAAAUCACGGGCCCCGGUCCGAUUAGCUCAGUAACACGUGGAGAACGUGCCCUUAAGUGGGGGAUAAUCUCGGGAAAUUGAGGAUAAUACCCCAUAGGUCAUGGGAUCUGGAAUGACCCAUGGCUGAAAGUUCCGGCGCUUAAGGAUCGCUCUGCGGCCUAUCUUGUUGUAGUGGGUGUAACGUACCCCCUAGCCUACGACGGGUAUGGGCCUUGAGAGAGGGAGCCCAGAUUUUUACUACUCUUUAUACGAAUCCAGGCCCUACGGGGCGCAGCAUUCUUUUUAAACUUCACACUGGGGGGAACCCCGAUGAGGGAAUUCCUAGUGCUUGGGCAUUUGUCCAAGCUUUUCCCGAGCGUAGAUAACUCGGUGAAUAAGGGCUGGGUAAGACGGGUGCCAGCCGCCGCGGUAAUACCUGCAGCCCGAGUGGUGGUCGAUUUUAUUGAGUCUAAAGCGUUCGUAGCCGGUCCGUUAAAUCCUUGGGUAAAUCGGGAAGCUCAACUUUCCGACUUCCGAGGAGACUGGCGGACUUGGGACCGGGAGAGGCCAGAGGUACUUCUGGGGUAGGGGUAAAUCCUGUAUCUAGAGACCACGGUGCGAGCGUCUGGCAGACGAUCGACGUGAGGACGAGCUGGGUCGCAACGGGAUAGAUACCCGGUGUUUCAGGGUGUUACACCCCUCCCCCACAUUUGUUUUUGC